GACGCACGGUGUUCUGGGAGGAGUUACGCAGGCAGGGUUGUGGUUGCUGGCUGUUACCAGGACAACCGGAGGCGAUUGACCGUUAUCUGCGGUUUGGAGCCGUUAGCGGGAGAGGCAGAGAUAUUCAGAGGUCUUUUAGGAUGCGCUAAAGGGUCGUGAGGGCUCUCUUAAAAUUUUCUUCACAAGCGGUUAUCCAGUCGUGCCCCGCGGCCCUGCUGCUGGCCCCGGGGAUCUGAGUCGUACCCUCUUGUUUUUCUCUGAGUCAGUCUUAAGGUGAAAUGAAGUGUGGCCCAGUGGCUCCUCACUGUCGCUUCUCUAGUUUUCUGCCUCCUUUUAGAAAAUGUAAGUUGAGAAUUUCUAAUUUACAUCGGGAUGUGUUCUAAUGCGCUUGUUUUUAAAACUGUGGAAAAUUUUUAAAAGAAAAUAAAUCUCACCAGUCAUCCAGCUACCCAGAAGUAACAUUUUCAUGCAUUACCUAUUAAUUUUUUUCUCUGCAUAUUUUUUCAUAGUUGAGAUAAUUUAGGGAAAACCAUUUUGUGUCCUUCAUAUAUGGAUGAAUACAAUAUAAUUUUGGUAUUAAUAUCAUAGCAACAAAGAAGGCAUUGAAGGCUUUAAAUCUGUUUACAGUGAAUUGAAAAGACAGGAUGAAGUGGACACAGCAUGUGAAGACAAUUCUUUCAAGAAGUUUGGCUGUCAAGGAAAACAGAGAAUGUGCUAAAGAACAUACAGACACAGAGCAGACAGGCCACCUUUGCAACCACAUGGAGGUUUGUCUGAUAUUGAAGCUAAAGAAGCUAAGCUGGAAGACAGAGAGACCAAGUCCUGAUGACAUUGUUUGAACCCAGAGAUCCAGACAUGCCUGAAAACUAGUUUUACCACUGGACUUAUCCGUUGAAUGAGCCAAUAAACUCUCUUUUAUACUUAACCUUGGGUUUUACCUGGAUUUUUGUCAUUGACAGCUCAAAAUAUUCUAAUAUAGAAGUAUACAUCAUUAAAUCAACAUUUCUUUUUUUCUCUGUCUUAUUUUAAAUGUAACUCUAUAAGGUACUCUAAAAGUAUUCUACAGUCUCACUAAGUUAAUCUGCAAAUUUGGUAAAAUUCCAAUAUUAAUCCCAAAAGUAUUUUAAGAGCUUGUUUUUGUUGUUUGCUUGUUUGGGACUAAACAGAAUUACUCCAAAAUUCAUUGAGAGAAAAAAAAACAUGAAAAAAAAAACAAGAAAAUAGAAUUCAUAAAAGGAAAUUGUAUUAUAUAACAAAGCAUAAAACAAGAAUAAUAAACAUAGA
Molecule: long non-coding RNA, 1284 nt
Organism: Homo sapiens (human)
Lineage: Eukaryota; Metazoa; Chordata; Mammalia; Primates; Hominidae
Gene: GIHCG
Product: GIHCG inhibitor of miR-200b/200a/429 expression
Source: Ensembl